UACGUAGGGUGCAAGCGUUGCCCGGAUUUAUUGGGCGUAAAGGGCGCGCAGGCGGCUACGCACGUCCGUUGUGAAAUCGCUCGGCUCAACUGGGCGGGGUCGGCGGAUACGGCGUAGCUGGAGCAAGCUAGGGGGCAAUGGAAUUCCCGGUGUAGUGGUGGAAUGCGUAGAUAUCGGGAGGAACACCAGUGGCGAAGGCGGCUGCCUGGAGCUUUGCUGACGCUGAGGCGCGAAAGCGUGGGGAGCGAUCCGG
This 253-nucleotide ribosomal RNA is filed under the name uncultured bacterium. RNAcentral's name for it is "partial 16S ribosomal RNA". It matches the Rfam family "Bacterial small subunit ribosomal RNA", at positions 524 to 776 of the family's 1533-position model. The record is from RNAcentral.